UGACUACAUGAAGCUGGAAUCGCUAGUAAUCGCGAAUCAGAAUGUCGCGGUGAAUACGUUCCCGGGUCUUGUACACACCGCCCGUCACACCAUGGGAGUUGGGAAUGCCCGAAGCCGGUGACCUAACCGAAAGGGAGGAGCCGUCGAAGGCAGGCUUGAUAACUGGGGUGAAGUCGUAACAAGGUAAC
This 188-nucleotide ribosomal RNA is filed under the name uncultured bacterium. RNAcentral describes it as "partial 16S ribosomal RNA". It matches the Rfam family "Bacterial small subunit ribosomal RNA", at positions 1313 to 1500 of the family's 1533-position model. The record is from RNAcentral.